Molecule: long non-coding RNA, 1186 nt
Organism: Equus asinus (donkey)
Lineage: Eukaryota; Metazoa; Chordata; Mammalia; Perissodactyla; Equidae
Source: Ensembl
GACAGCAGAGGUUACAAGUGGCAGUGGAUCGCACUGCCGGAGCUGUUUGGAGGAAGCCUCUGAGCGCGCAACGCCGGUCACGUGGUGGGCGCAGACCAGCCACUGAGAUGACGGGUCCUCGAAGCGUUCCUAGAGAGGCAGCUAUUGAAGCCGGCCGAGACGUGUUUGAGCGAUGUGAUGUAUUUCCGGUCUCUGGGAGUUUCUUUGCCUGCAGAUCAUUGCUUUGAUCACGACCAUUCACUCUGAGUAAAUAUGUUCUUAGUUUGGAGUUGAUGUCUGUUAACAAUGAUGUGUUAUGCCUCGGCGCCAGCAUGAAGCACUCCUACUACUGCAAUAAGCCAGGUUUCUGAGCUGUUUCACCCAGGAAUGAAUUCAGUUCAGCCCUUUUGGGCUGCAGAAGAACAGAAGGAAUGUCAAAUAGUUAAAAUUUAGCCUGCACAGAAAUGGAGCUUCUGGCCAGGAGUUCUUCAGACAAAGCGAGGAGGAUUCUUUUGAGCUUCCAGAGUCCAGCUCCAGGCUCUUUGCCAUCACUGGCUGAGACCAGAGAUAGACAGCAAGGAACAAACACAUCUUGGAACUGCUGGUACCAGAGCAGUUCCUGACCAUCCUGCCCAGAGCUCCAGGCUUGAGUGCAGGAGCAGCCCAGAGUCUAGGGAGGAGGCUGUUACUGUACUGGAGGUGCUUGGAGAGGAAGCUGGCUAAUCCAGGAGGAAAGCUCAUUUGAGUCAAGAUCUCAAGAAGAAAAAUGCGUUGUGAUUGGUUGAUAUGUCUCUUAGGUUUCUUUUAAUAAAUGGGUCCCCCUUCCUUCUUUUCUCCCCCUUGCAACUCACUUAUUAAAGAAAUCAAGUUGUUUGUCCUAUGUAGUUUCCCACAAUCUGGGUUUUGCUGCUUGCAUCUUGUGCUGUAGUUUAACAUGUUCUGUUGUCCUCUCUGUUUUCUAUAAAUUGUAGCAAAUCUACAGGCUUGACCAAAAUCAAAUUUAAGGUUUUAGAGCAAGACAAGUUUAACUUGGCAAGCUGAUGUUCUGUCUGGAGCCUAUAAUGUUUGAUUGUUUCUUUUUCUGUGAUGUUAUCAGCUUUUGAUCCUCAAUACCUACAUCUAGUAAUCCAUUAGAGGAUCCCAAAGUGAUGAUAUUCUUAUUCUGUCAUUCUUUCUUCACUUAAUAAAGCUGGAAUAUUUAUAUAAA